GAUGAACGCUGGCGGCGUGCCUAAUACAUGCAAGUCGAGCGAACGGACGAGAAGUUUGCUUUUCUGAUGUUAGCGGCGGACGGGUGAGUAACACGUGGAUAACCUACCUAUAAGACUGGGAUAACUUCGGGAAACCGGAGCUAAUACCGGAUAAUAUUUUGAACCGCAUGGUUCAUAAGUGAAAGACGGUCUUGCUGUCACUUAUAGAUGGAUCCGCGCUGCAUUAGCUAGUUGGUAAGGUAACGGCUUACCAAGGCAACGAUGCAUAGCCGACCUGAGAGGGUGAUCGGCCACACUGGAACUGAGACACGGUCCAGACUCCUACGGGAGGCAGCAGUAGGGAAUCUUCCGCAAUGGGCGAAAGCCUGACGGAGCAACGCCGCGUGAGCGAUGAAGGUCUUCGGAUCGUAAAACUCUGUUAUUAGGGAAGAACAUAUGUGUAAGUAACUGUGCACAUCUUGACGGUACCUAAUCAGAAAGCCACGGCUAACUACGUG
RNAcentral lists this ribosomal RNA (497 nucleotides) under uncultured bacterium. Its description in RNAcentral is "partial 16S ribosomal RNA". It matches the Rfam family "Bacterial small subunit ribosomal RNA", at positions 28 to 507 of the family's 1533-position model. The record is from RNAcentral.